Molecule: long non-coding RNA, 267 nt
Organism: Micropterus salmoides (largemouth bass)
Lineage: Eukaryota; Metazoa; Chordata; Actinopteri; Centrarchiformes; Centrarchidae
Exons: 2
Source: RefSeq, a predicted model, not a curated record
AUUCUUUCUCAUUUAGUGACAGCAGAUGGUAAACAUGAGGGAUUUUCUAACUGAACAGUUUCUUGGGUUGUGUUAUUUAAUUCAUGCAGGUGACGCACAAACAACAACAACUGAAAACACAAAAUCAGUUACAGCCUUAACAACAACUAAUGAUGCUUCAACAAAACUACAAGUCUAUCGAGUUUGGUGGUGGUAUGUUGCAGUUGCAGCUCUCUUAAUAACUAUUGUUAUUGUUGUUGCUCUCAUCAGAUGGAAGAAAACUAAAGG